This 406-nucleotide ribosomal RNA is filed under the name uncultured bacterium. Its description in RNAcentral is "partial 16S ribosomal RNA". It matches the Rfam family "Bacterial small subunit ribosomal RNA", at positions 30 to 526 of the family's 1533-position model. The record is from RNAcentral.
AUUGAACGCUGGCGGCAGGCCUAACACAUGCAAGUCGCACGAGUGGCGGACGGGUGAGUAAUAUCUGGGAAACUGCCUGAUGGCGGGGGAUAACUACUGGAAACGAUAGCUAAUACCGCAUACCAUCAGAUCUGCCCAGAGGGGAUUAGCUUGUUGGUGGGUGAAGGGCUCACCAAGGCUACGAUCCCUAGCUGAUCUGAGAGGAUGACCAGCCACACUGGAACUGAGACACGUGCCAGACUCCUACGGGAGGCAGCAGUGGGGAAUAUUGCACAAUGGGCGAAAGCCUGAUGCAGCCACGCAGCGUGUGUGAAGAAGGCCUUCGGGUUGUAAAGUACUUUCAUCGGGGAGGCGUUACCCGCAGAAGAAGCACCGGCUAACUCCGGGCCAGCAGCCGCGGUAAUUC